CGGGGCGUAGCGCAGCCCGGUAGCGCGCCUGCUUUGGGAGCAGGAUGUCGGAGGUUCAAAUCCUCUCGCCCCGA
Molecule: transfer RNA, 74 nt
Organism: Candidatus Nitrospira inopinata
Lineage: Bacteria; Pseudomonadati; Nitrospirota; Nitrospiria; Nitrospirales; Nitrospiraceae
Rfam family: tRNA
About the family: Transfer RNA (tRNA) molecules are approximately 80 nucleotides in length.
Source: Rfam